GACGAACGCUGGCGGCGUGCCUAAUACAUGCAAGUAGAACGCUGAAGGAGGAGCUUGCUUCUCUGGAUGAGUUGCGAACGGGUGAGUAACGCGUAGGUAACCUGCCUGGUAGCGGGGGAUAACUAUUGGAAACGAUAGCUAAUACCGCAUAAGAGUAGAUGUUGCAUGACAUUUGCUUAAAAGGUGCAAUUGCAUCACUACCAGAUGGACCUGCGUUGUAUUAGCUAGUUGGUGAGGUAACGGCUCACCAAGGCAACGAUACAUAGCCGACCUGAGAGGGUGAUCGGCCACACUGGGACUGAGACACCGCCCAGACCCCUACGGGAGGCAGCAGUAGGGAAUCUUCGGCAAUGGACGGAAGUCUGACCGAGCAACGCCGCGUGAGUGAAGAAGGUUUUCGGAUCGUAAAGCUCUGUUGUAAGAGAAGAACGAGUGUGAGAGUGGAAAGUUCACACUGUGACGGUAUCUUACCAGAAAGGGACGGCUAACUACGUG
RNAcentral lists this ribosomal RNA (495 nucleotides) under uncultured bacterium. Its description in RNAcentral is "partial 16S ribosomal RNA". It matches the Rfam family "Bacterial small subunit ribosomal RNA", at positions 28 to 507 of the family's 1533-position model. The record is from RNAcentral.